UUGGAGGGCAAGUCUGGUGCCAGCAGCCGCGGUAAUUCCAGCUCCAAUAGCGUAUAUUAAAGUUGUUGCAGUUAAAAAGCUCGUAGUUGAAUUUCGAGACCGGCUUACUGGUCGUGCUAUUGUACGUACUGGUAUAAUCGGUUUCUCCUUUCUGACGAACUAUAAUGCCAUUAAUUUGGUGUUAUAGGGAAUCAGGACUGUUACUUUGAAAAAAUUAGAGUGUUUAAAGCAGGC
RNAcentral lists this ribosomal RNA (234 nucleotides) under uncultured Glomus. Its description in RNAcentral is "partial 18S ribosomal RNA". It matches the Rfam family "Eukaryotic small subunit ribosomal RNA", at positions 548 to 785 of the family's 1831-position model. Lineage: Eukaryota; Fungi; Glomeromycota; Glomeromycetes; Glomerales; Glomeraceae. The record is from RNAcentral.